GGGCGGUUUAGGCUUAAGGUUAGCCAGCCUGGGGCUAUGGGAGCUGCAGGUGGAUAUACAACCUUGGGUCUGGUGUAGCGCUCCUAAGUUAAAAGAGACUUUUAAGUUAAACAAACGUCCAAGAUACCUUCCUUUCACUAGAAUAUCAGCCGAUUAACAAAAAUGGUCCCAAAGCUCCGUGACAGUGGACACAUUUUUUUAGGGCUACAGAUAGGCGUCUUAAUCACUUUCUUCCCGCUCUUUUGCUCUAGGGUGUCCUUUUUCUCCUGAAAAUUCAUAUUCUGCCAGGUCCUUUAAAAAGCCAGCAUCGUUCCAACUCUCAUCUGAAGCUCCGGCUGCCCUGGCUGCCAGUUUAGCAUCUGUCUCUGACCCUUCGGCUUCCUCGAAGGAGGGGGCAGACAGCGAUGCAAAUGUCUUGCAAUGACAUUGCUACUGCAGAAAAUACUUAUGGACUGAGAGGUACUUGAACCUUACUCUCUAGUUACUUUUCAGUCUUGAAGAGUCUCACAAAAUGUGUUCAGUGGUGAGAAUAAAUUGUGGUGGUGGUAGUGUUAUAGCCAGACCGUUCAAAAAGAGACUGGAACGAGCUCUUUAUGAAUUUGAAGUUUGCACAGACCCGGCCGAGGGCACGCACUCACUACAAGUCUAGAGAGACGGCCCCGACCGUUAAAGACAGGUUUAUAAAGGGGGAAACCACAGGUUCCAAACUUCCAUUAACGCGGUCGCUAUUGGCAAGCAUGACAAGAUAUAAACUUUUAACAAAAAAUGAGACACGGGUAUAGUACCAUGGCAUCUCUGCUUGAUCGAGGAGCAGAAAGCCUUCAGGUUACAGAAGUAGGACGACGGAGGAUCGAUAGAGAGGUGGGAAGAAUGGAAGAGCCAGAGGAUGGGGAUGAGUGAUGUGAAAUGCUGUCUUUGGGACAAGAUCUGUUGACUGCACUCAUGAGCUCUCUGAAGCUGUGACUCCCUGCACAAAUUCAAAUCAUCAUUCCAACAGAUACUGCCUGGUAGCAUACAACUGUAACAAAAACAAACUCAAGAAGAGG
This 1046-nucleotide long non-coding RNA is filed under the name Mus pahari (shrew mouse). RNAcentral describes it as "lncRNA (MGP_PahariEiJ_G0006408.1)". Lineage: Eukaryota; Metazoa; Chordata; Mammalia; Rodentia; Muridae. The record is from RNAcentral.